RNAcentral lists this ribosomal RNA (674 nucleotides) under Salmonella enterica. Its description in RNAcentral is "partial 23S ribosomal RNA". It matches the Rfam family "Bacterial large subunit ribosomal RNA", at positions 670 to 1340 of the family's 2925-position model. RNAcentral also lists the same sequence under 1 other name. Lineage: Bacteria; Pseudomonadati; Pseudomonadota; Gammaproteobacteria; Enterobacterales; Enterobacteriaceae. The record is from RNAcentral.
AGGGAAACCGAGUCUUAACUGGGCGUUAAGUUGCAGGGUAUAGACCCGAAACCCGGUGAUCUAGCCAUGGGCAGGUUGAAGGUUGGGUAACACUAACUGGAGGACCGAACCGACUAAUGUUGAAAAAUUAGCGGAUGACUUGUGGCUGGGGGUGAAAGGCCAAUCAAACCGGGAGAUAGCUGGUUCUCCCCGAAAGCUAUUUAGGUAGCGCCUCGUGAACUCAUCUUCGGGGGUAGAGCACUGUUUCGGCUAGGGGGUCAUCCCGACUUACCAACCCGAUGCAAACUGCGAAUACCGAAGAAUGUUAUCACGGGAGACACACGGCGGGUGCUAACGUCCGUCGUGAAGAGGGAAACAACCCAGACCGCCAGCUAAGGUCCCAAAGUCACAGUUAAGUGGGAAACGAUGUGGGAAGGCUCAGACAGCCAGGAUGUUGGCUUAGAAGCAGCCAUCAUUUAAAGAAAGCGUAAUAGCUCACUGGUCGAGUCGGCCUGCGCGGAAGAUGUAACGGGGCUAAACUGUGCACCGAAGCUGCGGCAGCGACGCUUAUGCGUUGUUGGGUAGGGGAGCGUUCUGUAAGCCUGCGAAGGUGUCCUGUGAGGGAUGCUGGAGGUAUCAGAAGUGCGAAUGCUGACAUAAGUAACGAUAAUGCGGGUGAAAAGCCCGCUCGCCGG